UUUCCGUAGGUGAACCUGCGGAAGGAUCAUUACCGAGUUAGGGUACCUCGCCUUAAAACCACGAGUGCCCGACCUCCCAACCCUUUGCUUACUUGACCUUUGUUGCUUCGGCAGGCCCGCCUCCAGGCCGCCGGGAGCCUUAACCCGCUCCUGGCCAGUCUCGCCUGCCGAUGGCCCAAAUCUCAAACUCUUGUUUAAAAACGUGUCGUCUGAGUACUUGUUUAAAACAAAAAUUUUAACAAAACUUUCAACAACGGAUCUCUUGGUUCUGGCAUCGAUGAAGAACGCAGC
Molecule: unclassified non-coding RNA, 291 nt
Filed under: uncultured fungus
Lineage: Eukaryota; Fungi
Description: sequence contains ITS1, 5.8S rRNA gene
Rfam family: 5.8S ribosomal RNA (bases 243-291)
Source: RNAcentral